RNAcentral lists this long non-coding RNA (816 nucleotides) under Marmota monax (woodchuck). The record is from RNAcentral. Lineage: Eukaryota; Metazoa; Chordata; Mammalia; Rodentia; Sciuridae.
UAUAGAUCAGUGCUUGUUGAACACUAUAGAAUUCAUACUGGAGAGAAUCCCUACAAAUGUAAAGAAUGUGGCAAAGCUUUUAGCCAUCAUGCUGGCUUUAUCAAACACCUGAGAAGUCAUAGUGGAAAGAAGCCCUACAAAUGUGAACAAUGUGGCAAAUGUUUUAGUCAGAAAUCAAAUCUGGUCCAACACCAGAGAAUUCAUAAUGGCGAGAAACCCUACAAAUGUGAAGAAUGUGCCAAAGUUUUUAGUCAAAGAUCACUACUUAACAAUCACCAUAGAAUUCAUACUGCAGAAAAUCCCUACAAAUGUAAAGACUGUGGCAAGGCUUUUAGGCAAUAUUCAUGCAUUUUCCAACACCAGAAAAUUCAUACUGGAGAGAAGCCCUACAAAUGUAAAGAAUGUGGCAAAGCUUUUAAGCAAAAUUCAGCAUUAACUAAGCACCAGAGAAUCCACACUGGAGAGAAGCCCUACAAAUGUAAAGAAUGUGGCAAGGCUUUUGCCCAAAGAUCAGCACUUACUGGACACCUCAGGGUUCAUACUGCAGAGCAGUCCUAAAAUGUACAGAAUGUGGCAAAGCUUUUAAGCAUCUUUCAUCAAUUACUAUUCACCAGAGAAUCCACACUGGAGAGAAGCUCUACAAAUGUAAAGAAUGUGGCAAAGCUUUUACCCAAAGAUCAGCACUUACUGGACACCACAGAGUUCAUACUGCAGAGAAGCCCUAGAAAUGUACAGAAUGUGGCAAAGCUUUUAGGCAUCACGCAAGCAUUUUCAAACACCAGAGAAUGCAUACUGGAGAGACGCCCUACAAAUGUG